RNAcentral lists this ribosomal RNA (497 nucleotides) under uncultured bacterium. RNAcentral describes it as "partial 16S ribosomal RNA". It matches the Rfam family "Bacterial small subunit ribosomal RNA", at positions 28 to 507 of the family's 1533-position model. The record is from RNAcentral.
GAUGAACGCUGGCGGCGUGCCUAAUACAUGCAAGUCGAGCGAACAGACGAGGAGCUUGCUCCUCUGACGUUAGCGGCGGACGGGUGAGUAACACGUGGAUAACCUACCUAUAAGACUGGGAUAACUUCGGGAAACCUGAGCUAAUACCGGAUAAUAUAUUGAACCGCAUGGUUCAAUAGUGAAAGACGGUUUUGCUGUCACUUAUAGAUGGAUCCUCGCCGCAUUAGCUAGUUGGUAAGGUAACGGCUUACCAAGGCAACGAUGCGUAGCCGACCUGAGAGGGUGAUCGGCCACACUGGAACUGAGACACGGUCCAGACUCCUACGGGAGGCAGCAGUAGGGAAUCUUCCGCAAUGGGCGAAAGCCUGACGGAGCAACGCCGCGUGAGUGAUGAAGGUCUUCGGAUCGUAAAACUCUGUUAUUAGGGAAGAACAAAUGUGUAAGUAACUAUGCACGUCUUGACGGUACCUAAUCAGAAAGCCACGGCUAACUACGUG